AUUAUGUUAGGUAAUUUCUGCUCUAUGAAUUACGUUUAAAUGGCCGCAGUAAACUGACUGUGCUAAGGUAGCAUAAUAAAUUGGCCUUUAAUUGGGGUCUAGUAUAAACGGAAACAUAUGUAAUUACUGUCUCUAUUGUACUUAAUUUAACUUACUUAAAAGGUGAAAAUUCCUUUAAGUUUUCAAGAAGGACGAGAAGACCCUUAGAAUUAUUAAAGAUUAGCUAUUUCUCAAUAUAACUUUCUUUUUUGUUGGGGCGACAUAUUUUCACUUAACAUAAUAUAUCUAACUAGUAACAUGACUAAUUUAUUUAGUAAGACUUAAUUACCUGAGGGAUAACAGCAUAAUAUAAUUUUAAGUUUGUGACCUCGAUGUUGGACUAGGUAGAAUAACAACCAGCAGUUGUUAUUACUUGUUCUGUUCGAACAUAUA
This 432-nucleotide ribosomal RNA is filed under the name Anguispira strongylodes. RNAcentral describes it as "partial large subunit ribosomal RNA". Lineage: Eukaryota; Metazoa; Mollusca; Gastropoda; Stylommatophora; Discidae. The record is from RNAcentral.